UAGAAGACAUUUGAAAGAGAUUAAAGAUUUAUCGGUGAUGGAUGGGGAUGCGUCUGAUUAGCUUGUUGGCGGGGUAACGGCCCACCAAGGCGACGAUCAGUAGGGGUUCUGAGAGGAAGGUCCCCCACAUUGGAACUGAGACACGGUCCAAACUCCUACGGGAGGCAGCAGUGAGGAAUAUUGGUCAAUGGGCGAGAGCCUGAACCAGCCAAGUAGCGUGCAGGAAGACGGCCCUAUGGGUUGUAAACUGCUUUUAUAAGGGAAUAAAGUGAGUCUCGUGAGACUUUUUGCAUGUACCUUAUGAAUAAGGACCGGCUAAUUCCGUGCCAGCAGCCGCGGUAAUACGGAAGGUCCGGGCGUUAUCCGGAUUUAUUGGGUUUAAAGGGAGCGUAGGCCGGAGAUUAAGCGUGUUGUGAAAUGUAGACGCUCAACGUCUGCACUGCAGCGCGAACUGGUUUCCUUGAGUACGCACAAAGUGGGCGGAAUUCGUGGUGUAGCGGUGAAAUGCUUAGAUAUCACGAAGAACUCCGAUUGCGAAGGCAGCUCACUGGAGCGCAACUGACGCUGAAGCUCGAAAGUGCGGGUAUCGAACAGGAUUAGAUACCCUGGUAGUCCGCACGGUAAACGAUGGAUGCCCGCUGUUGGUCUGAACAGGUCAGCGGCCAAGCGAAAGCAUUAAGCAUCCCACCUGGGGAGUA
Molecule: ribosomal RNA, 698 nt
Filed under: uncultured bacterium
Lineage: Bacteria
Description: bacterial SSU rRNA
Rfam family: Bacterial small subunit ribosomal RNA
Source: RNAcentral